CUGUGAAUAGUUUCACUGUUCUUUUACGGUAAGAAUCCAGGCAGAUUAACAUUCACUAUAAAAAAAACUAUCCAUGGGUCUGUCCUCAGACCCUGUUCAUUUCCUACAUAGGUCUAGUCUUCUAAAUUUUGGUGAUGGGG
Molecule: small nucleolar RNA, 140 nt
Filed under: Sorex araneus (European shrew)
Lineage: Eukaryota; Metazoa; Chordata; Mammalia; Eulipotyphla; Soricidae
Description: Small nucleolar RNA SNORA72 (ENSSARG00000019470.1)
Rfam family: Small nucleolar RNA SNORA72
About the family: U72 is a member of the H/ACA class of snoRNAs. The snoRNA gene is located in intron 4 of the ribosomal L30 protein gene in human, mouse and chicken.
Source: RNAcentral